AACAAUGUGAAGUAUAUUGGGUGGAUCCUUGAGGUAAUUUAUUUCCCCUAUAUUCUCUAGUGUUUGGCCAAAGUGUUGUGGCUACUUUUCUGCCGAACACAUGAACUCUGCUGGUACCACCAGACGUCGUUUCAUGCAUCUAUUAUUGUGGAGCAUCAGGUCUGGUGUUUGAUAAAGUAGACAUGAUUGUUCUCAUUCCCAAUCAUCAUCAUAGUAAGACUGCUUAAGAUUCCUGAGCUUUAUUUAUUCCCUUUCCAGAG
This 260-nucleotide long non-coding RNA is filed under the name Triticum aestivum (bread wheat). RNAcentral describes it as "long non-coding RNA (TAES_LNC002301)". The record is from RNAcentral. Lineage: Eukaryota; Viridiplantae; Streptophyta; Magnoliopsida; Poales; Poaceae.